GCGCUAAGAUUGAGAUAGGGGCUUGGCGAGGGUCGAGACGAGUAUUUAAAGGGGCAACCGUGUGGAGCAAGGCGCCUGGGGCGAUUACGCGCACGGCCGGUAGGAUUCGGGCUCGAGUCCUGUCCGGACACGAGGUAGGGGACGGCCUUGACCGCUGGGUCCCACUUAUCGGUGUCCCAGGGGCGCGGGUCCGCUCUGUCAGCGGCCGCAGCGGAGGGGAGACGCGAGCGGCUCGCUGGCUGCUCCAGCGUGGGCCGGGGACUGGGCCGCGUGGCAGGAGAAAGGAAGGGGGAAAACAGGCCGCGGGGGGGUGGGGGGAAACUGUGCCGAGACCGAGAGUGAGUGAGGGAGAGACUAAUUCCUUUUAUUUUUUUUAUUUUUCUCACUUUUUGCUCAAACCAAAUAAAAAGAUUUGAAAAUCAUUUUGAAUUUAAAACCACCACUCAAUAAAAUAUAUGCAGCAGCAUGAUGCUAAAACAUGUGUCUAAACCCUAUAAUGACUUUUAAUUUAAUAAAUAUUCCUUUCUUACUACACUUAAGUACUCAACAAUUAAUUAAAUCAUUUUACCCUAUUUGGAAAGAUGAAAUUUUUAGGGUUUUACAUUAACUCUCGUCA
RNAcentral lists this long non-coding RNA (616 nucleotides) under Sorghum bicolor (sorghum). RNAcentral's name for it is "long non-coding RNA (SBIC_LNC017468)". The record is from RNAcentral. Lineage: Eukaryota; Viridiplantae; Streptophyta; Magnoliopsida; Poales; Poaceae.